RNAcentral lists this transfer RNA (73 nucleotides) under Treponema sp. RNAcentral describes it as "tRNA-Thr". It matches the Rfam family "tRNA". From Rfam's summary of the family: Transfer RNA (tRNA) molecules are approximately 80 nucleotides in length. Their secondary structure includes four short double-helical elements and three loops (D, anti-codon, and T loops). The record is from RNAcentral. Lineage: Bacteria; Pseudomonadati; Spirochaetota; Spirochaetia; Treponematales; Treponemataceae.
GCCAUCUUAGCUCAGUCGGUAGAGCGCGUGACUUGUAAUCUCGAGGUCUUCGGUUCGACUCCGGAAGAUGGCU